GCUGAAAACCCUUAUGAGCAGAAUCAACAGACUAUAAAUCCAAGAGGGCUUCAGAGAGAAAUCAGCCUGCACAGAGAGAGAGAGAGAGAGACGCCAGCAGAAAGCGGGAAUUAAUUUGCGCCUCGCUUAAAUCUCUGCAGAUCAGAAGAUUCCACAACUCCACGAGGUGAAGCGGUGUUUUGUACUGAGGAUUCGAAAUCGAAUUUAUCUGCUGGCAAGCUACCAGGCACGUACAGUAUGUCGUCGAGUUUCCCAGUUCAUAGGUUGUACCUCUGAUGAUGAUUCUCUGUUCUUUACUGUAGUUCUCGUGGAUUCCAUUGAUGCUUUCUCCGUGACCUAAACUUUCCCAAUACAUGUGAGUGUCAUGCCUAUUUCCAUAUCAACCAAUUUCCAACUUAUCCUCUAAUCAUCAUGUGCCCAAACCAUUUAGAAACACCCUCCUCAUUUGUGGUAUGAACUCCCCAAUGAAUUCCAGCCAAAAACUGGUACGUAUUUUAUUAACACCUUUCGUAGGUCUCCACCAUUUUCUUGUAUUGUGACUAUUUAAAAUGUGUAUGGGUAAGGUAGUCUUACUUCCCAUUUAUUGUUUGAGAUCAAGUUUGGAGAAUGAAGACUGGAAGAAUCAUAUCAAGAGCCUAGCACAGGCUGUAAAAAAGAUACUAAGUGUGCCCUUUAAUAAAUCCAAGUUGGAGGUAAGAGCUGGCUCACUGAUGAAACUAAAAAAAAAUGGCAUGUGGUACCUAUUUGUGAGCAUUAUGGAAGAGCAAAUGAAUGCACCCACCUCUUUGUAACUACUAUUGUCCCUGCAAGUGAUGUAAGUGUAGGGGAAGCAAAGAGAAGUUCAUUCAAGGCCUUAAAUAAAGGAACUCCAUUAAAAAUUUUUAUGAAUAUUACCUUAUCAGCUUCGGAUCCUUUUUCAAAUACAAAUAGUCAAGAGAGCAAAGGUUAUGUUUGUAGUCAAAAACAAAAGUGGCUGGAAGUAAAUAAUCCAGGGCUAAAGCCAAUGUUUCAUCCAUAUUGAUGCACUUUUGCAUAGAUUUCUGAUACCAUAUGGUAAAUAUUUGGUUUAUGUACUGUUGCCAAACUUCUUCCUGACUUAUAAUCUGACCACAAUUAAUCUGUAUCCCUAAAUUUGAGGUUCUUUAAUAGGGUUAUAAAAUCCUAAUUACCCCUCCCAUGGGCUUUCUAGAAGAAAGAGACUGUUACAGGACAAGGGCAAGGGCGACUUAAUUUACAAUCUUUGAGGAUCCAAUAACAGUAUUUUGUUAUAAUUUAUUUUCAUCAGUGAGUCUGGGCUAGCUAUUGGGAAUCUGUAUAAUUCAAUUAGAUGAAUAGAAAUUAAAUUAUCCUUUUCUUUCCCUGUAUCAAAGCAGUUUAAUGUAAGAUUUCAAUUCCCCAUUUACUGUAAUUUUUUUUAUUAUAAUUCAUCCUUUAGUUGUCAUCAAUUUUCAGUUCUUUCGCUCAUUCCGUGUCCUCAGUGUUAAAAACCCCAGAACAAUAGUGUAAAGAUGUUUAAUUUUUUUACUAUUAACAAGUAUUAUAUACCAAGGUCAACGAUAAUUAAUAAAAAAGUUGAAAGAGGAUAGUAUAAGAGGGGAAUUCUUCUAAAGUAUAGUAGAAGUUGUUGAGGUUUGUGUUAACAAUUGUCAAUUUGCAUAAGCUACCUUUAUCAUGUCCCUUAUAAAGUCAUCAGUGCAAGAUGAAGGCAACUGACCAUGAGUAUUGGAGAACUGAUGAGCUUCCCAGAGGCCUUUUGUGUAGGUUUUUAGUAUAAGAUCAUUAAUUAAUAUAGGGUGAGUGAGUCAAUUAAAUCUGUCUUGUUUCUGUUUUGAGGAAAAUGGCUCAGUUGGGAGAAAAUGUAAAUCCUGAUUAAUUACUUGUUAAAUGUGUAAACAGAAAAUAUAAAGUUUCCAAGGUGUACUCAUUUAUUUUUUUUACUAAUAUUAUUUAAAAUGAAUCUACUCAUAUGAGAAAAUGUCAAUAACCUACCUGCUUAUUAAUAAUCUUGUUAAUGAGGUUUUCACUUAGUGUAAAUGAUGUUCCAACUCUUUUCCGA
Macrobrachium nipponense is the source of this 2056-nucleotide long non-coding RNA. RefSeq lists it as uncharacterized. NCBI's taxonomy places the organism in Eukaryota, Metazoa, Arthropoda, Malacostraca, Decapoda, Palaemonidae. The record is from RefSeq and is a predicted model, not a curated record. The transcript has 3 exons.